AGUGGCGAACGGGUGAGUAAUAUAUCGGAACAUGUCCGGAAGUGGGGGAUAACGUACCGAAAGGUACGCUAAUACCGCAUAUGCCCUGAGGGGGAAAGGGGGGGAUCGCAAGACCUCUCGCUUUCGGAGUGGCCGAUAUCGGAUUAGCUAGUAGGUGAGGUAAAGGCUCACCUAGGCGACGAUCCGUAGCUGGUCUGAGAGGACGACCAGCCACACUGGAACUGAGACACGGUCCAGACUCCUACGGGAGGCAGCAGUGGGGAAUUUUGGACAAUGGGCGAAAGCCUGAUCCAGCCAUGCCGCGUGAGUGAAGAAGGCCUUCGGGUUGUAAAGCUCUUUCAGCCGGAAAGAAAUUGCUUCUAUUAAUACUAGGAGUAGAUGACGGUACCGGAAGAAGAAGCACCGGCUAACUACGUGCCAGCAGCCGCGGUAAUACGGAGGGUGCGAGCGUUAAUCGGAAUUACUGGGCGUAAAGCGUACGCAGGCGGUUUGUUAAGCGAGAUGUGAAAGCCCCGGGCUCAACCUGGGAACUGCAUUUCGAACUGGCAAACUAGAGUGUGAUAGAGGGUGGUAGAAUUUCAGGUGUAGCGGUGAAAUGCGUAGAGAUCUGAAGGAAUACCGAUGGCGAAGGCAGCCACCUGGGUCAACACUGACGCUCAUGUACGAAAGCGUGGGGAGCAAACAGGAUUA
This 690-nucleotide ribosomal RNA is filed under the name uncultured bacterium. RNAcentral describes it as "bacterial SSU rRNA". It matches the Rfam family "Bacterial small subunit ribosomal RNA", at positions 94 to 780 of the family's 1533-position model. The record is from RNAcentral.